This 586-nucleotide ribosomal RNA is filed under the name Desmodesmus arthrodesmiformis. RNAcentral describes it as "eukaryotic LSU rRNA". The stretch from base 139 to 292 matches the Rfam family "5.8S ribosomal RNA". The record is from RNAcentral. Lineage: Eukaryota; Viridiplantae; Chlorophyta; Chlorophyceae; Sphaeropleales; Scenedesmaceae.
CAUGUGUACCGACGUUAAGUUACACACUUGCUCACCGCGAGUGUGUGCUUAUUCAAACCUACACACCAUUGUCCAACCAAUGAGUAAACCAAACUCUGAAGCUAUGGCUGCUGUUAAUCGGCAGUCUUAACAAAGAACAACUCUCAACAACGGAUAUCUUGGCUCUCGCAACGAUGAAGAACGCAGCGAAAUGCGAUACGUAGUGUGAAUUGCAGAAUUCCGUGAACCAUCGAAUCUUUGAACGCAUAUUGCGCUCAACUCCUCGGAGAAGAGCAUGUCUGCCUCAGCGUCGGUUUUACCCCUCACCCCUCUUGCUUGUUUACAAGCAAGCUUGUCGUGUGUGCUUACACCGGCAUUAGGAGUGGAUCUGGCCCUCCCAAUCGGUGCAAAUCGGUUGGGUUGGCUGAAGCACAGAGGCUUAAACUAGGACCCGUAUCGGGCUCAACUGGAUAGGUAGCAACACCUUUGGGUGCCUACACGAAGUUGUGUCUGAGGACCUGGUUAGGAGCCAAGCAGGAAACACGCUUCACGGCGUGUAUCAUGUUUUCGACCUGAGCUCAGGCAAGGCUACCCGCUGAACUUAAGC